GGGUUGUGAGGUUAAGUGACUAAGCGUACACGGUGGAUGCCUAGGCAGUCAGAGGCGAUGAAGGGCGUGCUAAUCUGCGAAAAGCGUCGGUAAGGUGAUAUGAACCGUUAUAACCGGCGAUACCCGAAUGGGGAAACCCAGUGUGUUUCGACACACUAUCAUGUCAUGAAUACAUAGUGGCAUGAGGCGAACCGGGGGAACUGAAACAUCUAAGUACCCCGAGGAAAAGAAAUCAACCGAGAUUCCCCCAGUAGCGGCGAGCGAACGGGGAGGAGCCCAGAACCUGAAUCGGCUUGUGUGUUAGUGGAAGCGUCUGGAAAGUCGCGCAGCAAAGGGUGAUAGCCCCGUACACUAAAAUGCACAGGUCGUGAGUUCGAUGAGUAGGGCGGGACACGUGACAUCCUGUCUGAAUAUGGGGGGACCAUCCUCCAAGGCUAAAUACUCCUGACUGACCGAUAGUGAACCAGUACCGUGAGGGAAAGGCGAAAAGAACCCCGGCGAGGGGAGUGAAAUAGAACCUGAAACCGUGUACGUACAAGCAGUGGGAGCACCUUCGUGGUGUGACUGCGUACCUUUUGUAUAAUGGGUCAGCGACUUAUAUUUUGUAGCAAGGUUAACCGUAUAGGGGAGCCGUAGGGAAACCGAGUCUUAACUGGGCGAAUAGUUGCAAGGUAUAGACCCGAAACCCGGUGAUCUAGCCAUGGGCAGGUUGAAGGUUGGGUAACACUAACUGGAGGACCGAACCGACUAAUGUUGAAAAAUUAGCGGAUGACUUGUGGCUGGGGGUGAAAGGCCAAUCAAACCGGGAGAUAGCUGGUUCUCCCCGAAAGCUAUUUAGGUAGCGCCUCGUGAACUCAUCUUCGGGGGUAGAGCACUGUUUCGGCUAGGGGGCCAUCCCGGCUUACCAAACCGAUGCAAACUCCGAAUACCGAAGAAUGUUAUCACGGGAGACACACGGCGGGUGCUAACGUCCGUCGUGAAGAGGGAAACAACCCAGACCGCCAGCUAAGGUCCCAAAGUCAUGGUUAAGUGGGAAACGAUGUGGGAAGGCAUAGACAGCCAGGAUGUUGGCUUAGAAGCAGCCAUCAUUUAAAGAAAGCGUAAUAGCUCACUGGUCGAGUCGGCCUGCGCGGAAGAUGUAACGGGGCUAAACCAUGCACCGAAGCUGCGGCAGCGACGCUUAGGCGUUGUUGGGUAGGGGAGCGUUCUGUAAGCCGUUGAAGGUGGCCUGUGAGGGUUGCUGGAGGUAUCAGAAGUGCGAAUGCUGACAUAAGUAACGAUAAAGCGGGUGAAAAGCCCGCUCGCCGGAAGACCAAGGGUUCCUGUCCAACGUUAAUCGGGGCAGGGUGAGUCGACCCCUAAGGCGAGGCUGAAAAGCGUAGUCGAUGGGAAACAGGUUAAUAUUCCUGUACUUGGUGUUACUGCGAAGGGGGGACGGAGAAGGCUAGGCUAGCCGGGCGACGGUUGUCCCGGUUUAAGCGUGUAGGGGGUGUGACCUGGUAAAUCCGGUUACAUACUAACCCUGAGGCGUGAUGACGAUGCACUACGGUGCAGAAGUAGUUGAUGCCCUGCUUCCAGGAAAAGCCUCUAAGCUCUAGGUAACAUUGAAUCGUACCCCAAACCGACACAGGUGGUCAGGUAGAGAAUACCAAGGCGCUUGAGAGAACUCGGGUGAAGGAACUAGGCAAAAUGGUGCCGUAACUUCGGGAGAAGGCACGCUGGCAUGUAGGUGAAGUCCCUUGCGGAUGGAGCUGAAGCCAGUCGAAGAUACCAGCUGGCUGCAACUGUUUAAUAAAAACACAGCACUGUGCAAACACGAAAGUGGACGUAUACGGUGUGACGCCUGCCCGGUGCUGGAAGGUUAAUUGAUGGGGUCAGCCGCAAGGCGAAGCUCUUGAUCGAAGCCCCAGUAAACGGCGGCCGUAACUAUAACGGUCCUAAGGUAGCGAAAUUCCUUGUCGGGUAAGUUCCGACCUGCACGAAUGGCGUAAUGAUGGCCAGGCUGUCUCCACCCGAGACUCAGUGAAAUUGAACUCGCUGUGAAGAUGCAGUGUACCCGCGGCAAGACGGAAAGACCCCGUGAACCUUUACUAUAGCUUGACACUGAACAUUGAGCCUUGAUGUGUAGGAUAGGUGGGAGGCUUUGAAGCGUGGACGCCAGUCUGCGUGGAGCCAUCCUUGAAAUACCACCCUUUAAUGUUUGAUGUUCUAACUCGGCCCCAUAAUCUGGGGUGAGGACAGUGUCUGGUGGGUAGUUUGACUGGGGCGGUCUCCUCCCAAAGAGUAACGGAGGAGCACGAAGGUUAGCUAAUCACGGUCGGACAUCGUGAGGUUAGUGCAAAGGCAUAAGCUAGCUUGACUGCGAGAGUGACGGCUCGAGCAGGUACGAAAGUAGGUCUUAGUGAUCCGGUGGUUCUGAAUGGAAGGGCCAUCGCUCAACGGAUAAAAGGUACUCCGGGGAUAACAGGCUGAUACCGCCCAAGAGUUCAUAUCGACGGCGGUGUUUGGCACCUCGAUGUCGGCUCAUCACAUCCUGGGGCUGAAGUAGGUCCCAAGGGUAUGGCUGUUCGCCAUUUAAAGUGGUACGCGAGCUGGGUUUAGAACGUCGUGAGACAGUUCGGUCCCUAUCUGCCGUGGGCGUUGGAAGAUUGAGAGGGGUUGCUCCUAGUACGAGAGGACCGGAGUGAACGCACCACUGGUGUUCGGGUUGUCAUGCCAAUGGCAUUGCCCGGUAGCUAAGUGCGGAAAAGAUAAGCGCUGAAAGCAUCUAAGCGCGAAACUUGCCUCAAGAUGAGUCUUCCCUGGGCCUUUAAGGCCCCUGAAGGAACGUUUAAGACUAAGACGUUGAUAGGCUGGGUGUGUAAGUGCAGCGAUGCAUUGAGCUAACCAGUACUAAUGAUCCGUGAGGCUUAACCUUACAACACCGAAGGUGUUUUAG
Molecule: ribosomal RNA, 2938 nt
Filed under: Serratia marcescens
Lineage: Bacteria; Pseudomonadati; Pseudomonadota; Gammaproteobacteria; Enterobacterales; Yersiniaceae
Description: 23S ribosomal RNA
Rfam family: Bacterial large subunit ribosomal RNA
Source: RNAcentral